AUACGAGGGGUGCAAGCGUUGCUCGGAAUUAUUGGGCGUAAAGGGUAGGUAGGUGGUCUCAUUUGUCUAGGGUGAAAGCCUUGAGCUCAACUCAAGAAGUGCCCUGGAAACGGUGAGACUGGAGUCCUGGAGAGGGUCGUGGAAUUCCCGGUGUAGCGGUGAAAUGCGUAGAGAUCGGGAGGAACACCAGAGGCGAAGGCGGCGACCUGGACAGGUACUGACACUCAACUACGAAAGCGUGGGGAGCAAACAGGAUUAGAUACCCUGGUAGUCCACGCUGUAAACGAUGGAUACUAGACUUGGCGGGUCUUGACCCCUGCCGAGUCGGAGCUAACGCACUAAGUAUCCCGCCUGGGAAGUACGGUCGCAAGACUAA
Molecule: ribosomal RNA, 376 nt
Filed under: uncultured bacterium
Lineage: Bacteria
Description: bacterial SSU rRNA
Rfam family: Bacterial small subunit ribosomal RNA
Source: RNAcentral